UGGGCAACCUGCCCUCAGCUCUGGGAUAACUCCAAGAAAUUGGGGCUAAUACCGGGUAUGACCGCUGACCGCAUGGUCUGGUGGUGGAAAAGAUUUUAUCGGCUGGGGAUGGGCCCGCGGCCUAUCAGCUUGUUGGUGGGGUAGUGGCCUACCAAGGCGACGACGGGUAGCUGGUCUGAGAGGAUGGCCAGCCACAUUGGGACUGAGACACGGCCCAGACCUCCGUACGGGAG
RNAcentral lists this ribosomal RNA (233 nucleotides) under uncultured bacterium. Its description in RNAcentral is "partial 16S ribosomal RNA". It matches the Rfam family "Bacterial small subunit ribosomal RNA", at positions 118 to 347 of the family's 1533-position model. The record is from RNAcentral.